RNAcentral lists this ribosomal RNA (497 nucleotides) under uncultured bacterium. Its description in RNAcentral is "partial 16S ribosomal RNA". It matches the Rfam family "Bacterial small subunit ribosomal RNA", at positions 28 to 507 of the family's 1533-position model. The record is from RNAcentral.
GAUGAACGCUGGCGGCGUGCCUAAUACAUGCAAGUCGAGCGAACAGACGAGGAGCUUGCUCCUCUGACGUUAGCGGCGGACGGGUGAGUAACACGUGGAUAACCUACCUAUAAGACUGGGAUGACUUCGGGAAACCGGAGCUAAUACCGGAUAAUAUAUUGAACCGCAUGGUUCAAUAGUGAAAGACGGUUUUGCUGUCACUUAUAGAUGGAUCCGCGCCGCAUUAGCUAGUUGGUAAGGUAACGGCUUACCAAGGCAACGAUGCGUAGCCGAUCUGAGAGGGUGAUCGGCCACACUGGAACUGAGACACGGUCCAGACUCCUACGGGAGGCAGCAGUAGGGAAUCUUCCGCAAUGGGCGAAAGCUUGACGGAGCAACGCCGCGUGAGUGAUGAAGGUCUUCGGAUCGUAAAACUCUGUUAUUAGGGAAGAACAAAUGUGUAAGUAACUAUGCACGUCUUGACGGUACCUAAUCAGAAAGCCACGGCUAACUACGUG